This 1329-nucleotide ribosomal RNA is filed under the name Mycobacterium sp. RNAcentral's name for it is "bacterial SSU rRNA". It matches the Rfam family "Bacterial small subunit ribosomal RNA", at positions 88 to 1429 of the family's 1533-position model. Lineage: Bacteria; Bacillati; Actinomycetota; Actinomycetes; Mycobacteriales; Mycobacteriaceae. The record is from RNAcentral.
UACUCGAGUGGCGAACGGGUGAGUAACACGUGGGUGAUCUGCCCUGCACUUUGGGAUAAGCCUGGGAAACUGGGUCUAAUACCGGAUAGGACCACGCGCUUCAUGGUGUGUGGUGGAAAGCUUUUGCGGUGUGGGAUGGGCCCGCGGCCUAUCAGCUUGUUGGUGGGGUAAUGGCCUACCAAGGCGACGACGGGUAGCCGGCCUGAGAGGGUGUCCGGCCACACUGGGACUGAGAUACGGCCCAGACUCCUACGGGAGGCAGCAGUGGGGAAUAUUGCACAAUGGGCGCAAGCCUGAUGCAGCGACGCCGCGUGAGGGAUGACGGCCUUCGGGUUGUAAACCUCUUUCGCCAGGGACGAAGCGCAAGUGACGGUACCUGGAGAAGAAGCACCGGCCAACUACGUGCCAGCAGCCGCGGUAAUACGUAGGGUGCGAGCGUUGUCCGGAAUUACUGGGCGUAAAGAGCUCGUAGGUGGUUUGUCGCGUUGUUCGUGAAAACUCACAGCUUAACUGUGGGCGUGCGGGCGAUACGGGCAGACUGGAGUACUGCAGGGGAGACUGGAAUUCCUGGUGUAGCGGUGGAAUGCGCAGAUAUCAGGAGGAACACCGGUGGCGAAGGCGGGUCUCUGGGCAGUAACUGACGCUGAGGAGCGAAAGCGUGGGGAGCGAACAGGAUUAGAUACCCUGGUAGUCCACGCCGUAAACGGUGGGUACUAGGUGUGGGUUUCCUUCCUUGGGAUCCGUGCCGUAGCUAACGCAUUAAGUACCCCGCCUGGGGAGUACGGCCGCAAGGCUAAAACUCAAAGGAAUUGACGGGGGCCCGCACAAGCGGCGGAGCAUGUGGAUUAAUUCGAUGCAACGCGAAGAACCUUACCUGGGUUUGACAUGCACAGGACGUGCCUAGAGAUAGGUAUUCCCUUGUGGCCUGUGUGCAGGUGGUGCAUGGCUGUCGUCAGCUCGUGUCGUGAGAUGUUGGGUUAAGUCCCGCAACGAGCGCAACCCUUGUCUCAUGUUGCCAGCACGUUAUGGUGGGGACUCGUGAGAGACUGCCGGGGUCAACUCGGAGGAAGGUGGGGAUGACGUCAAGUCAUCAUGCCCCUUAUGUCCAGGGCUUCACACAUGCUACAAUGGCCGGUACAAAGGGCUGCGAUGCCGUGAGGUGGAGCGAAUCCUUUCAAAGCCGGUCUCAGUUCGGAUCGGGGUCUGCAACUCGACCCCGUGAAGUCGGAGUCGCUAGUAAUCGCAGAUCAGCAACGCUGCGGUGAAUACGUUCCCGGGCCUUGUACACACCGCCCGUCACGUCAUGAAAGUCGGUAACACCCGAAGCCG